UGCGUAGGCGGCUUAUUAAGUCAGGGGUGAAAGACGGUGGCUCAACCAUCGCAGUGCCCUUGAUACUGAUGAGCUUGAAUACACUAGAGGUAGGCGGAAUGUGACAAGUAGCGGUGAAAUGCAUAGAUAUGUCACAGAACACCGAUUGCGAAGGCAGCUUACUAUGGUGUUAUUGACGCUGAGGCACGAAAGCGUGGGGAUCAAACAGGAUUAGAUACCCUGGUAGUCCACGCCCUAAACGAUGAAUACUCGCUGUUAGCGAUACACAGUUAGCGGCUAAGCGAAAGCGUUAAGUAUUCCACCUGGGGAGUACGCCCGCAAGGGUGAA
RNAcentral lists this ribosomal RNA (328 nucleotides) under uncultured Pedobacter sp. Its description in RNAcentral is "bacterial SSU rRNA". It matches the Rfam family "Bacterial small subunit ribosomal RNA", at positions 568 to 898 of the family's 1533-position model. The record is from RNAcentral. Lineage: Bacteria; Pseudomonadati; Bacteroidota; Sphingobacteriia; Sphingobacteriales; Sphingobacteriaceae.